GCAGUGGCUCAGCACACUAGAAGGCCACCAUGCACGAGCCCUGUGGACCCAACAGUAGCUGAUCACAUGGUAGCCUGACCCCUCUUAGCCAAAAGCUAUUCUGAAAGCCGCGCCGGCUCUCUGCAGCUACUUAGAACUAUCCAGACCUGCUUUCCUAAACCAAAUCCGUCAGGAGAGGGUCAGGAGUGGAUCAGAAGAGGGUAGUUUAGCAUGCCAGUACUGUUGAGUGAGACAACUCUUAAGAGUUGUCCAGACCUGGGAAAAACUGCUAUGGCACCUCAUUCAUGUGUUGACUGCACCACCUUAAGCUCCUCUGGGGGUGUCCAGGACCAAGCAAAGAAACUGGCUGUUUUUCCUUGAGCCUUUCCUAGUGGCUUGUUGCUUAAGCCGAAGUAGUCACUGACCUUGCCCAGACCUCCCAGUGAGCUGCCACUGGAUCAGAGUGAUGGAGCAAAGCUGUUCUCCUAGCAACGGAAGCACCACACAACCGCUGUAGAGUGGCUUUCUGCCAGGCUACUUCUUGAAUAAACACAACAGAGGCCGAGUGA
Long non-coding RNA from Myodes glareolus (Bank vole), 548 nucleotides. RefSeq lists it as uncharacterized. The record is from RefSeq and is a predicted model, not a curated record. Lineage: Eukaryota; Metazoa; Chordata; Mammalia; Rodentia; Cricetidae.